Molecule: ribosomal RNA, 394 nt
Filed under: uncultured bacterium
Lineage: Bacteria
Description: bacterial SSU rRNA
Rfam family: Bacterial small subunit ribosomal RNA
Source: RNAcentral
AUAUUGGACAAUGGGCGAAAGCCUGAUCCAGCAAUGCCGCGUGAGUGAUGAAGGCCUUAGGGUUGUAAAGCUCUUUUACCAGGGAUGAUAAUGACAGUACCUGGAGAAUAAGCUCCGGCUAACUCCGUGCCAGCAGCCGCGGUAAUACGGAGGGAGCUAGCGUUGUUCGGAAUUACUGGGCGUAAAGCGUAUGUAGGCUGUUUUGUAAGACAGGUGUGAAAUCCCAGAGCUUAACUUUGGAACUGCAUUUGUGACUGCAAGACUUGAGUAUCGGAGAGGUUGGCGGAAUUCCUAGUGUAGAGGUGAAAUUCGCAGAUAUUAGGAGGAACACCGAUGGCGUAAGCAGCCAACUGGACGAUUACUGACGCUGAGAUACGAAAGCGUGGGGAGCAAA